UCAGCGUUACUUCAUUUCUCCACGUUUCUGCAACUGUUGCUUUCAUUUUUUGGGGAAACGUAAGACGCCUAACUUUUCUCUAACCUAACACCUCUUCCACUCCUCCAACAAAUUAUCCAACCCACACGAAUCCAAUCUCCACAAACCUAAAUAUCUUAAAAAUCCUCCCAAAAUCACAAGCCAAUUUAAUAUUUGCUAGCACAUGAAACUAGCAUCACAUAAGUUUUUGAGUUUAGGAUUUCCGUGAAUAGUGAUUUCGUCACUAUUCAUCCGACAUUUUUACCGAAAUCCGGCGCUGGAUUGAAGCAAUUUUGGUAUCAAAAGAAGCGUCUGAUCUUUGCACACAAUCCCUAUUUGUUUUUGCUCUCAAACUCAUAAUCAAUUUUUUCAAAUCUUAGAUUUGGUGCGUCAGUUACUGUAGCAAACUAAAACUGGGCAGAUUUGUUUCAGUUUUGUAUUCUGUUUUUGCUUUCAUCUUGAUGUAGUUUUGAAGAACCAUGGAUGCAUCGUCCUCUCCCCAACCUUUGGCUGUGGGAGAGCCAUCAACAAAACUCACAUAUGCUCAGCAAAUCGAAACAAAAACGGAUCUCAUACAUCGCACAUCUACAAAACUCAAACCGGUCCAGUUUAUUCAUGGUGAGCCUACUGUAAUUUUUACCAUAGAGGAACGACAACAAUUUG
Molecule: long non-coding RNA, 681 nt
Filed under: Nicotiana benthamiana
Lineage: Eukaryota; Viridiplantae; Streptophyta; Magnoliopsida; Solanales; Solanaceae
Description: long non-coding RNA (NBEN_LNC012065)
Source: RNAcentral